This 463-nucleotide ribosomal RNA is filed under the name uncultured bacterium. RNAcentral's name for it is "bacterial SSU rRNA". It matches the Rfam family "Bacterial small subunit ribosomal RNA", at positions 56 to 515 of the family's 1533-position model. The record is from RNAcentral.
UGCAGUCGAGCGGAUGAAGGGGGCUUGCUCUCUGAUUCAGCGGCGGACGGGUGAGUAAUGCCUAGGAAUCUGCCUAUUAGUGGGGGACAACGUUUCGAAAGGAACGCUAAUACCGCAUACGUCCUACGGGAGAAAGCAGGGGACCUUCGGGCCUUGCGCUAAUAGAUGAGCCUAGGUCGGAUUAGCUAGUUGGUGAGGUAAAGGCUCACCAAGGCGACGAUCCGUAACUGGUCUGAGAGGAUGAUCAGUCACACUGGAACUGAGACACGGUCCAGACUCCUACGGGAGGCAGCAGUGGGGAAUAUUGGACAAUGGGCGAAAGCCUGAUCCAGCCAUGCCGCGUGUGUGAAGAAGGUCUUCGGAUUGUAAAGCACUUUAAGUUGGGAGGAAGGGCAGUAAGUUAAUACCUUGCUGUUUUGACGUUACCGACAGAAUAAGCACCGGCUAACUUCGUGCCAGCAGC